This 442-nucleotide ribosomal RNA is filed under the name uncultured bacterium. Its description in RNAcentral is "partial 16S ribosomal RNA". It matches the Rfam family "Bacterial small subunit ribosomal RNA", at positions 338 to 795 of the family's 1533-position model. The record is from RNAcentral.
CCUACGGGAGGCAGCAGUAGGGAAUCUUUCACAAUGGGCGAAAGCCUGAUGGAGCAACGCCGCGUGCAGGAUGAAGGCCUUCGGGUUGUAAACUGCUUUUAUAAGCGAGCAAUAUGAUGGUAACUUAUGAAUAAGGAUCGGCUAACUACGUGCCAGCAGCCGCGGUCAUACGUAGGAUCCGAGCAUUAUCCGGAGUGACUGGGUGUAAAGAGUUGCGUAGGUGGCAUAAUAAGUAGCUAGUGAAAUCUGGUGGCUCAACCAUUCAGACUAUUAGCUAAACUGUUAAGCUCGAGACCGUUAGGGGUAACUGGAAUGUCUGGUGUAGGAGUGAAAUCCGUAGAUAUUAGAAGGAACACCAAUAGCGUAGGCAGGUUGCUGGGACGGUUCUGACACUAAGGCACGAAAGCGUAGGGAGCAAACGGGAUUAGAUACCCCGGUAGUC